RNAcentral lists this transfer RNA (73 nucleotides) under Pteridomonas danica. Its description in RNAcentral is "tRNA-Phe". It matches the Rfam family "tRNA". Rfam says of the family: Transfer RNA (tRNA) molecules are approximately 80 nucleotides in length. Their secondary structure includes four short double-helical elements and three loops (D, anti-codon, and T loops). The record is from RNAcentral. Lineage: Eukaryota; Dictyochophyceae; Pedinellales.
GCCUCGAUAACUCAGUUGGUAGAGUAGAGGAUUGAAGAUCCUUUUGUCAUCAGUUCGAAACUGGUUCUAGGCA